UGUCUUCUUGUUUUGAUUUGAAGUCGUGCCUGCCCACUGAGGAGUUGAAUGGCCGCGGUAUAUUGACCGUGCAAAGGUAGCAUAAUCAUUAGUCUUUUAAUUGGAGGCUGGAAUGAAUGGUUUGACGAAAUAAUAACUGUCUCGGAGUGAUGUAUUGAAUUUUACUUUUGAGUUAAAAGGCUCAAAUGAAAAUAGGGGACGAGAAGACCCUAUAGAUCUUAAUAUUAUUAUAUUGAAAUUUAUGUUUGGUGGUUUUUUAUAGAUGUUAAUAUAUUGUAUUUGGUUGGGGUGACAAGAGAAUAAUUUAACUUCUUUAUGUUUAACUAUGAUGAUUGGUUAAUUGAUCCUGUAUUAUGGAAUGAAGAUAAAGAUACCUUAGGGAUAACAGCGUAAUGUUAUUGGAGAGUUCAUAUUGAUAAUAAAGAUUGCGACCUCGAUGUUGGAUUAAGAAGAUUGUUAAGUGCAGGAGCUUAAUAUAUUGGUCUGUUCGACCAUUGAAUUCUU
RNAcentral lists this ribosomal RNA (504 nucleotides) under Acheta domesticus (house cricket). RNAcentral's name for it is "partial 16S ribosomal RNA". It matches the Rfam family "Bacterial large subunit ribosomal RNA", at positions 1867 to 2597 of the family's 2925-position model. Lineage: Eukaryota; Metazoa; Arthropoda; Insecta; Orthoptera; Gryllidae. The record is from RNAcentral.